GUGCUUACUUCGGCAGCACAUAUACUCAGAUUGGAACUAUACAGAGAAGAUUAGCACGGCCCCUGGGCAAGCGUGCUGCACAAAUUUGUGAGGCGUUCCACAUUUUU
Small nuclear RNA from Choloepus hoffmanni (Hoffmann's two-fingered sloth), 107 nucleotides. NCBI's taxonomy places the organism in Eukaryota, Metazoa, Chordata, Mammalia, Pilosa, Megalonychidae. The record is from Ensembl.